GAAUCAGCUUGUGUGUUAGUGGAACGGUCUGGAAAGUCCGACGGUACAGGGUGAUAGUCCCGUACACCAAAAUGCACAGGCUGUGAACUCGAAGAGUAGGGCGGGACACGUGGUAUCCUGUCUGAAUAUGGGGGGACCAUCCUCCAAGGCUAAAUACUCCUGACUGACCGAUAGUGAACCAGUACCGUGAGGGAAAGGCGAAAAGAACCCCGGCGAGGGGAGUGAAAAAGAACCUGAAACCGUGUACGUACAAGCAGUGGGAGCACCUUCGGGUGUGACUGCGUACCUUUUGUAUAAUGGGUCAGCGACUUAUAUUCUGUAGCAAGGUUAACCGUAUAGGGGAGCCGCAGGGAAACCGAGUCUUAACUGGGCGUUAAGUUGCAGGGUAUAGACCCGAAACCCGGUGAUCUAGCCAUGGGCAGGUUGAAGGUUGGGUAACACUAACUGGAGGACCGAACCGACUAAUGUUGAAAAAUUAGCGGAUGACUUGUGGCUGGGGGUGAAAGGCCAAUCAAACCGGGAGAUAGCUGGUUCUCCCCGAAAGCUAUUUAGGUAGCGCCUCGUGAAUUCAUCUUCGGGGGUAGAGCACUGUUUCGGCUAGGGGGUCAUCCCGACUUACCAACCCGAUGCAAACUACGAAUACCGAAGAAUGUUAUCACGGGAGACACACGGCGGGUGCUAACGUCCGUCGUGAAGAGGGAAACAACCCAGACCGCCAGCUAAGGUCCCAAAGUCAUGGUUAAGUGGGAAACGAUGUGGGAAGGCACAGACAGCCAGGAUGUUGGCUUAGAAGCAGCCAUCAUUUAAAGAAAGCGUAAUAGCUCACUGGUCGAGUCGGCCUGCGCGGAAGAUGUAACGGGGCUAAACCAUGCACCGAAGCUGCGGCAGCGACACUAUGUGUUGUUGGGUAGGGGAGCGUUCUGUAAGCCUGCGAAGGUGACCUGUGAGGGUUGCUGGAGGUAUCAGAAGUGCGAAUGCUGACAUAAGUAACGAUAAAGCGGGUGAAAAGCCCGCUCGCCGGAAGACCAAGGGUUCCUGUCCAACGUUAAUCGGGGCAGGGUGAGUCGACCCCUAAGGCGAGGCCGAAAGGCGUAGUCGAUGGGAAACAGGUUAAUAUUCCUGUACUUGGUGUUACUGCGAAGGGGGGACGGAGAA
RNAcentral lists this ribosomal RNA (1155 nucleotides) under Klebsiella pneumoniae. Its description in RNAcentral is "partial 23S ribosomal RNA". It matches the Rfam family "Bacterial large subunit ribosomal RNA", at positions 314 to 1479 of the family's 2925-position model. Lineage: Bacteria; Pseudomonadati; Pseudomonadota; Gammaproteobacteria; Enterobacterales; Enterobacteriaceae. The record is from RNAcentral.